Danio rerio (zebrafish) is the source of this 1102-nucleotide non-coding RNA. NCBI's taxonomy places the organism in Eukaryota, Metazoa, Chordata, Actinopteri, Cypriniformes, Danionidae. The record is from Ensembl.
CUGCCAGUAGGAGGCGCUGCUCGAAUCUAUUUAUAGCUGUUCUCCUCUGACUCACGGGUAACGUUAGUUUACGACGAAAACGCUGCAUCUUUGAGUUUUAAGUCGAUCAUGGAUACAUUUCGAGUCAUUCAUCGAGGAACCUGCACUAUUUCCCAGUCCAGUGACAGUUUUCAGGACCCUUGCUCUCUAUGGAGGAUGAGAAAGCUCCAGGAUUUCAUCUAAAAUAUCUUCAUUUGUGUGCUGAAGAUUGAAACGACACCAUGAACAGCGUACGGAUCUCACAGAUUUCAAGACUCUUGCUGUCUGUGGAGGAUGAGAGAGCUCCAGGAUUUCAUCUAAAAUAUCUUCAUCUGUGUCCUGAAGCUCUCUGAGGAUUCAAAUGACACCAGGGCAGGCUGCUCCUGCAAUGCCAUUUCAGACAGAUUUUCUGGAGCUUUGGGCUGUGCAGAAAUGAAUGCCUUUGGAAAGCUGUGUUUCUGGUCAGUAGUGACCCACUGGCGUUUGGUCCGAGUGACUGCAGGUGCGACGGUCGAUUUCUAGUCUCUCCGGCCCGCUUUACCCACACAUCUGUGCUGAAAUAGUUAUCACUGAUGACACCCAACCUAAUUGCUAAUUACACGCCUCGGCAAACACAUUUUCUCUCUCUCCAUUCUGCUUUUUCUGAGGCGAAAUCUUGAGACUUACUUAUUUUUCCACUUUAUUCGCUGCACUUGGAUCCUCAGACUCGUGUCCUUUGGAAGAGGAAGAGAAAAAAAAGAAGCGAGCGUGACUGUAAAACACUCUCUCAGUUGGUUUGAGCAAAUUAAAUUUCCAGUUUGAUAAAUGUGGGAAUCUGCUUCUCGUCAAUGACGAAUGAAUUCUUUGCAGCUGCUGCGAGAGAAUAUUGUGUAAGUGGAGUUUGCGGGAUGGAGAUCGUCAUUUUGGUUUUUGGAAAUGAUCUUAUAUUUAAGGCUUGCGUUUGCAAUUUUCACAUAAAUAAAUAAGGCAAUAGAAUUAAAGUGUGUCAUAGGAAAGACGUAGGAGCAUGUGGGAGUAUGUUUAUAUAAAUGCGGAAAGAUUUUUUUAAUGAGUAGAUUUAAAUGAUUAAAGAUUAAUCAUGUUC